This 478-nucleotide ribosomal RNA is filed under the name uncultured bacterium. RNAcentral describes it as "partial 16S ribosomal RNA". It matches the Rfam family "Bacterial small subunit ribosomal RNA", at positions 28 to 523 of the family's 1533-position model. The record is from RNAcentral.
GACGAACGCUGGCGGCGUGCUUAACACAUGCAAGUCGAACGGUAAGGCCCUUCGGGGUACACGAGUGGCGAACGGGUGAGUAACACGUGGGUGAUCUGCCCUGCACUUCGGGAUAAGCCUGGGAAACUGGGUCUAAUACCGGAUAGGACCCUGGGAUGCAUGUCCUGGGGUGGAAAGCUUUUGCGGUGUGGGAUGGGCCCGCGGCCUAUCAGCUUGUUGGUGGGGUGAUGGCCUACCCAGGCGACGACGGGUAGCCGGCCUGAGAGGGUGACCGGCCACACGGGGACUGAGAUACGGCCCGGACUCCUGCGGGAGGCAGAAGUGGGGAAUAUUGCACAAUGGGCGCAAGCCUGAUGCAGCGACGCCGCGUGAGGGAUGACGGCCUUCGGGUUGUAAACCUCUUUCAGCACCGACGAAGCGCAAGUGACGGUAGGUGCAGAAGAAGGACCGGCCAACUACGUGCCAGCAGCCGCAGUAA